GGGCUCGUGGCUUAGCUUGGAUAUAGCGCCGGGCUUCUAACCCGGAUGUCGAGGGUUCGAAUCCCUCCGGGCCCGC
Molecule: transfer RNA, 76 nt
Filed under: Methanosarcinales archaeon
Lineage: Archaea; Methanobacteriati; Methanobacteriota; Methanomicrobia; Methanosarcinales
Also listed under: 1 other name
Description: tRNA-Arg
Rfam family: tRNA
About the family: Transfer RNA (tRNA) molecules are approximately 80 nucleotides in length.
Source: RNAcentral